CCGCAGCCGCAACCAUUUCCGCCACAACUACCAUAUCCGCAGCCGCAAUCAUUUCCACCACAACAACCAUAUCCACAACAGCAACCACAGUAUCUACAACCACAACAACCAAUUUCGCAGCAACAAGCACAACAACAACAACAACAACAACAACAACAACAACAACAACAACAAAUCCUUCAACAAAUUUUGCAACAACAACUGAUUCCAUGCAGGGAUGUUGUCUUGCAACAACACAACAUAGCGCAUGCAAGCUCACAAGUUUUGCAACAAAGUACUUACCAGCUAUUGCAACAAUUGUGUUGUCAACAACUGUUGCAGAUCCCUGAGCAGUCGAGGUGCCAAGCCAUCCAUAAUGUUGCUCAUGCUAUUAUUAUGCAUCAACAACAACAACAACAACAAGAACAACAACAACAGUUGCAACAACAACAACAGCAGCAACUGCAACAACAACGACAACAACCGUCGAGCCAGGUCUCCUUCCAACAGCCUCAGCAGCAAUAUCCAUCAAGCCAGGUCUCCUUCCAGCCAUCUCAGCUAAACCCACAGGCUCAGGGCUCCGUCCAACCUCAACAACUGCCCCAGUUCGCGGAAAUAAGGAACCUAGCGCUACAGACGCUACCUGCAAUGUGCAAUGUCUACAUCCCUCCACAUUGCUCGACCACCAUUGCGCCAUUUGGCAUCUUUGGUACCAACUGA
Molecule: ribosomal RNA, 699 nt
Filed under: Triticum aestivum (bread wheat)
Lineage: Eukaryota; Viridiplantae; Streptophyta; Magnoliopsida; Poales; Poaceae
Description: partial small subunit ribosomal RNA
Source: RNAcentral